AAAUACCACCGACUGAGUGGCUUAAACCACGGACAUUUAUUUCUCAUAGUUCCUAAAGCUAGGAAGUGCAAGACAAGGUUCAAGCAGAUUAGGUUACUGGAGAAGGCCCCUUCCUGGCUUGCCAGUGGCUGCCACUGUGUCGUCAUGUGGCAGAGAGAGCUCUGGUGUGUCUUCUUCUUAAAAGGAUUAUAAUCUCAUCAUGGGAGCUUCAUCCUCAUGACUUCAUCGAAAUCUAAUUACCUCCCAGUGACCUCGCACUCACUGGGGGGUUAGGGCUUCAACAUAUGAAUUUUUGGGGGACGCAUUCCGUCUAUAACACAGUGUUUAAGAAAAACCUACUCAAAGCAUGAUCAUGACUAUAUACUACCAUGGAUAUGUUAAGCAUAUGCUGCCUAAAGAACUCAUCUGAAACAUAAAGGGAGAUUCCAGGCUGCUGAUCGUUCAGAGUUGAUAAAGACCACAGAAAACAUAGAUGUGUCAAUGGACAUGAAGCCUUCCUGGACCACCAGAGAUGUGGCACUUACAGUGCACCGGGCUUUCAGGAUGAUUGGUCUCUUUUCUCAUGGAUUCUUGGCUGGCUGUGCUGUGUGGAAUAUUGUUGUGAUAUAUGUUCUAGCAGGAGAUCAGCUAUCCAACCUCUCAAACCUUCUGCAACAAUAUAAGACCCUAGCGUAUCCAUUCCAGAGUCUUCUGUACUUGCUUUUGGCUCUGAGUACAAUUUCAGCUUUUGACAGGAUUGACUUUGCUAAAAUAUCAGUAGCAAUCCGAAAUUUUUUGGCCCUGGAUCCUACAGCUUUAGCAUCUUUCUUGUACUUUACUGCUCUUAUACUAUCUCU
This 836-nucleotide small RNA is filed under the name Pan troglodytes (chimpanzee). Its description in RNAcentral is "processed transcript". The record is from RNAcentral. Lineage: Eukaryota; Metazoa; Chordata; Mammalia; Primates; Hominidae.